This 451-nucleotide ribosomal RNA is filed under the name uncultured bacterium. Its description in RNAcentral is "partial 16S ribosomal RNA". It matches the Rfam family "Bacterial small subunit ribosomal RNA", at positions 30 to 507 of the family's 1533-position model. The record is from RNAcentral.
CCUGAACGCUGUCGGCGUGACUAACACAUGCAAGUCGUACGGGCGUAGCAAUACUUCAGUGGCGCCCGGGUGAGUAAGGCAUCGCUAAUCUGCCCCGUGGCCUGGGAUAGCCAGCCGAAUGGUUUGAUAAUACCAGAUGUGACCACGAACCGGCAUCCGUUCGUGCUAAAAGGUUCGCCGCCCUGUGAUGAGGCGAUGUGGUAUCAGCUAGUUGUUGGGGUAACGGCACACCAAGGCGUUGACGCCGAGCCGGAGUGAGAGGUCGGCCGGCCACAUCGGGACUGAGACACUGCCCGGACUGGUACGGGGGGCUGCAGUAAUGAAUCUUCCGGAAUGCACGAAAGUGUGACGGAGCGACGGCGGGUGGAGGAUGAAGUGGUUGGGGAUGUAAACUUCUAAAAACGGUUAGAGAGUGACGAUAGAGAGGAUAUAAGUGGCGACUAACUAUGUG